CCUUGGCACUAGUAGGCGAUGAAGGACGUGGUAAGCUGCGAUAAGCUUCGGGUAGUUGCAUACAAACAUUAAUCCGAAGAUUUCCGAAUGGGACAACCUGCUGCACUGAAGGUGCAGCACUCGAAAGAGAGCCAACCCGGAGAACUGAAACAUCUAAGUAACCGGAGGAAAAGAAAAUAAUCUAAUGAUUCCCCAAGUAGUGGCGAGCGAAAAGGGAAGAGCCUAAACCGGUGGAGCGUGCUCCACCGGGGUUGUAGGACUGCAUUUAGAAAGCAUACUCAAACCGAACUACCUGGAAAGGUAGGCGACAGACGUGAUAGCCGUGUAGGUAGAAAUGUAUGUGGACGAGCAGUAUCCUGAGUAGCGCGGGACCGGAGAAAUCCUGCGUGAAUCUGCCAGCACCAUCUGGUAAGGCUAAAUACUAACUAGUGACCGAUAGUGAACCAGUACCGUAAGGGAAAGGUGAAAAGUACUGCGAACAGCAGAGUGAAAUAGUACCUGAAACCGUGCGCCUACAAGCGGUCGGAGCCCGUAAGGG
Molecule: ribosomal RNA, 538 nt
Filed under: uncultured bacterium
Lineage: Bacteria
Description: bacterial LSU rRNA
Rfam family: Bacterial large subunit ribosomal RNA
Source: RNAcentral